GUCCAGACUCCUACGGGAGGCAGCAGUGGGGAAUAUUGCACAAUGGGGGAAACCCUGAUGCAGCGACGCCGCGUGAGUGAAGAAGUAUUUCGGUAUGUAAAGCUCUAUCAGCAGGGAAGAAAAUGACGGUACCUGACUAAGAAGCCCCGGCUAACUACGUGCCAGCAGCCGCGGUAAUACGUAGGGGGCAAGCGUUAUCCGGAUUUACUGGGUGUAAAGGGAGCGUAGACGGCAUGGCAAGUCAGAUGUGAAAGCCCGGGGCUCAACCCCGGGACUGCAUUUGAAACUGUCAGGCUGGAGUGCAGGAGAGGUAAGUGGAAUUCCUAGUGUAGCGGUGAAAUGCGUAGAUAUUAGGAGGAACACCAGUGGCGAAGGCGGCUUACUGGACUGUAACUGACGUUGAGGCUCGAAAGCGUGGGGAGCAAACAGGAUUAGAUACCCUCGUAC
RNAcentral lists this ribosomal RNA (447 nucleotides) under uncultured bacterium. RNAcentral describes it as "bacterial SSU rRNA". It matches the Rfam family "Bacterial small subunit ribosomal RNA", at positions 329 to 793 of the family's 1533-position model. The record is from RNAcentral.